AACGGCCGUACCAUGCUGAAUAUACCGGUUCUCGUUAGAUCACCGAAGUCAAGCAUCAUUGGGCGCGGUCAGUACUUGGGUGGGUGACCAC
Caerostris extrusa is the source of this 91-nucleotide non-coding RNA. The record is from the annotation of a GenBank genome assembly. NCBI's taxonomy places the organism in Eukaryota, Metazoa, Arthropoda, Arachnida, Araneae, Araneidae.